This 1967-nucleotide long non-coding RNA is filed under the name Homo sapiens (human). RNAcentral describes it as "HSALNT0172894". Lineage: Eukaryota; Metazoa; Chordata; Mammalia; Primates; Hominidae. The record is from RNAcentral.
GUAAAAGUGGGAAUAUUAGAUACACUCGAUUUUUGGCCUUCUAGGUUUCACUACAAUGUAUACUUUUUUCUUUCUCUUUGCUCUGUAUGUGAUAAGAAAAAAGUCUUUAAAGAAGAAAAAGUUACCAGAUUUGUAAACCAGUUUUCCAAUUACUGAGCUUCUGCAAAGAAAGAUGCCAUAAUUGCUCAAGGUGAAAGAAAAAGAAAGAGAUAUCAUAAAUUAUCAUGAAGAUCGAUGGUAGAAGCUUUCUGAAGACCCAAAGAGCACUGUGCCCUGUCUUACCUGUCAGACAUGAGAGAAUAAAACUGCUCACUCACCAGAAGAUACUUGUAUGCAACCAUCCUUCAGCUGGAUUUUUUUCUUCCCUACUUUCUUGGACACACACACAUGCACACACACACCAAAAAAUAACUUUAUCAUAAAGCUCCAACUAAGUAAGGGAUAAAGAUGAGUUGAAAGACAGAGAGUGGUUGGUAUGCAACAAGAUCAAAAAAAAAAAGAGAGAGAGAAAGAGAAAAAGAAGAAAAAUCUGAGAGUGGGAGUUGCCCCACUGGCUGUCAGUGGCAAGAAAAAGCACUGUGAAUCAAAAUGAAACAAGAAAGAUAAUAGAGGGGGAAGAAGUGUUGCCAGUGUGAUGCUCUCAGGAACUGCAAGAGAACAGCAAGCAAACAGAAUUCCUGUUAGCCAGUUGUGGAAUCAUACGGCAAAUUCUGUCCUGUGGACCAUGAGGUGGAGGCUACCUACAAUUUAGCAACAAGACAGAAGGAGUCUAGGAGACUGACAUUAUGGAGUGCCUUGCCAGGCCUGAGCCUCCCACCCAGACUUCCAUGUGAAAGAGGAAUGAGCUUCUAUCAUGGUGACAUCAUUGUUGUUUUGGUUUUCUGUCACUUAGAGCUGAAUGUAACCUAAUAUAUGCACACACAUGUGUCUGCACAUGCAUACAGAAAUGCCUGCAAAGAUAUUCAUCAUAGUGUUAACAGUAGUGCCUUGGGAUUGCAGUAUUUGUAGUGGUUUUUACCUUAUCUUCAUACUUCUCUGGGUAUAUGCGCCACUUCUUACAAAAGCGGUAAAUCAAAAGAAAAAUGUCAUAAUGCUCUCCACCUUCUGCCUCCAGUUUCAGUUCCAUGGCUGAGUUCUCACCUGCCCUCAGCCCAGCCAGAGUGCCGUGACUGUGGGUGACUGCUUGCCCUGCUCCUCUGGCUUGUCUGACCUUGAGGCCCAGGCUUCAUCUGCAAAACUGCAGCCACUGUCCACCAUUCUCUUGGGUGGGGAAGAAAGAUUAGUUCUGUGCCCAUCUCUUCCCCAGGAUGGGGGAGAAAGCACAAAAAGUCAAGCCAGUUAGUGUCCCUGGAGAGAAGACAGCUGGAAAUACACCUGUAUUUCAUUCACUUCUUCAGUAAAUAUCGAUUGAGGGCCUAUAUGUUCCAAGCAAUGUUCUAGGUAGGGCAAAGAGCAGUAAAUAAGAGUCUUUGUGGUCAUGAUGCUUGUACUCUAGCAGAAAGGACCAACCAUCAACAAGCCCGCAUUUAGGUGCCUCUGUGUGAAUGUGCCUGUCUGAGCCAGUCUGAGCUUGAACCCAUUUGUUAGUGAUGCUCCCACUUCCCAGAAGAUCUCAAUGUCUCCUUGUUUCAUUCAUUCAUUUGACAAACAUGUUCUGAGGGUGUAGACAUGCCAAGCUGUAAACUGGAAAUUUAAUGACAAGCAAGAUUGGGCCAGUCUAACAGAAGCAUCAGCACUACAAAAGCUUGCAAGUUGCAACAUGGUAAGAUGGGAGUUACCAUCCGCCAGAGCCCUAUCAGACUAUCAAAAGGAGCUCCCAGCCUUGCCUGAAGAGCAAUGCAAGGAAGGCACUGGGGACCAUAGUAGCUGAGCUAAGUCCUGAAGGGUGAAUGAAAAUUGCCAGGUUAUGUUUCAGCCUCAGCAGAAACAAUUCUUACUCAGGUGCUGAUUAACAGCUGCAGUAAAAU